CUGGUUGUCCAAGUUUAAGGUGGUAGGCUGAAAUCUUAGGUAAAUCCGGGGUUUCAAGGCCGAGAGCUGAUGACGAGUCGUCUUUUAGAUGACGAAGUGGUUGAUGCCAUGCUUCCAAGAAAAGCUUCUAAGCUUCAGGUAACCAGGAACCGUACCCCAAACCGACACAGGUGGUCGGGUAGAGAAUACCAAGGCGCUUGAGAGAACUCGGGUGAAGGAACUAGGCAAAAUGGCACCGUAACUUCGGGAGAAGGUGCGCCGGCUAGGGUGAAGGAUUUACUCCGUAAGCUCUGGCUGGUCGAAGAUACCAGGCCGCUGCGACUGUUUAUUAAAAACACAGCACUCUGCAAACACGAAAGUGGACGUAUAGGGUGUGACGCCUCCCCGGUGCCGGAAGGUUAAUUGAUGGGGUUAGCGCAAGCGAAGCUCUUGAUCGAAGCCCCGGUAAACGGCGGCCGUAACUAUAACGGUCCUAAGGUAGCGAAAUUCCUUGUCGGGUAAGUUCCGACCUGCACGAAUGGCGUAACGAUGGCGGCGCUGUCUCCACCCGAGACUCAGUGAAAUUGAAAUCGCUGUGAAGAUGCAGUGUAUCCGCGGCUAGACGGAAAGACCCCGUGAACCUUUACUGUAGCUUUGCACUGGACUUUGAGCCUGCUUGUGUAGGAUAGGUGGGAGGCUUUGAAGCGUGGACGCCAGUUCGCGUGGAGCCAUCCUUGAAAUUCCACCCUGGCAUGCUUGAGGUUCUAACUCUGGUCCGUAAUCCGGAUCGAGGACAGUGUAUGGUGGGCAGUUUGACUGGGGCGGUCUCCUCCUAAAGAGUAACGGAGGAGUACGAAGGUGCGCUCAGACCGGUCGGAAAUCGGUCGCAGAGUAUAAAGGCAAAAGCGCGCUUGACUGCGAGACAGACACGUCGAGCAGGUACGAAAGUAGGUCUUAGUGAUCCGGUGGUUCUGUAUGGAAGGGCCAUCGCUCAACGGAUAAAAGGUACUCCGGGAUAACAGGCUGAUACCGCCCAAGAGUUCAUAUCGACGGCGGUGUUUGGCACCUCGAUGUCGGCUCAUCACAUCCUGGGGCUGAAGCCGGUCCCAAGGGUAUGGCUGUUCGCCAUUUAAAGUGGUACGCGAGCUGGGUUUAGAACGUCGUGAGACAGUUCGGUCCCUAUCUGCCGUGGACGUUUGAGAUUUGAGAGGGGCUGCUCCUAGUACGAGAGGACCGGAGUGGACGAACCUCUGGUGUUCCGGUUGUCACGCCAGUGGCAUUGCCGGGUAGCUAUGUUCGGAAAAGAUAACCGCUGAAAGCAUCUAAGCGGGAAACUUGCCUCAAGAUGAGAUCUCACUGGGAACUUGAUUCCCCUGAAGGGCCGUCGAAGACUACGACGUUGAUAGGCUGGGU
This 1392-nucleotide ribosomal RNA is filed under the name metagenome. Its description in RNAcentral is "bacterial LSU rRNA". It matches the Rfam family "Bacterial large subunit ribosomal RNA", at positions 1498 to 2866 of the family's 2925-position model. The record is from RNAcentral.